Molecule: ribosomal RNA, 614 nt
Filed under: uncultured fungus
Lineage: Eukaryota; Fungi
Description: eukaryotic LSU rRNA
Rfam family: 5.8S ribosomal RNA (bases 224-377)
Source: RNAcentral
GAGGAAGAAAAGUCGUAACAAGGUUUCCGUAGGUGAACCUGCGGAAGGAUCAUUAUUGAAAUAAACUUGAUGGGUUGUUGCUGGUUCUCCAGGGAGCAUUGUGCACACCUUGUCAUCUUUAUAUCUCCACCUGUGCACUUUUUGUAGACCUUUUCGGGUCUAUGUUGCCUCAUUUUACCCCAAUGUAUGUCAAUAGAAUGUUGUGCCUAUAUAUAAUAUAUACAACUUUCAGCAACGGAUCUCUUGGCUCUCGCAUCGAUGAAGAACGCAGCGAAAUGCGAUAAGUAAUGUGAAUUGCAGAAUUCAGUGAAUCAUCGAAUCUUUGAACGCACCUUGCGCUCCUUGGUAUUCCGAGGAGCAUGCCUGUUUGAGUGUCAUUAAUAUAAUCAACCUCUUCUUGUUUUGAGAAUGGUUUGGAUGUGGGGGUUUGCUGGCCUCUCUCAAAAGGUUCAGCUCCCCUGAAAUGCAUUAGCAGAACAACCUUUGCUCAUUGGUGUGAUAACUAUCUACGCUUAUGAAUACGGAGGGGCAGUUCAGCUUUCUAACGGUCUUUGGACAAUUCAUCAUUAAUGUGACCUCAAAUCAGGUAGGACUACCCGCUGAACUUAAGCAUA